GGCUUGCGGCUCGGGUGGCUGAGCGCGCGGGGAAAUGGCCACGGGGACAGACCAGGUGGUGGGACUCGGCCUCGUCGCCGUUAGCCUGAUCAUCUUCACCUACUACACCGCCUGGGUGAUUCUCUUGAAAAGCAAAUGCAGUCCCAGUCCUCUGAAUGGGUCAGCCCCUUAGAUGGAGGAGGUGGGACGUUUGGGCUUGGGGGCUCGGCAAGGCAAGCAAGACACACCAGAGCUCUUCCCUCGAUGCCAGCCAUUCAUCGACAGUCAGCAUGUCAUCCACAAGUAUUUCCUGCCCCGAGCCUAUGCUGUCGCCAUCCCACUGGCUGCAGGCCUCCUGCUGCUCCUGUUUGUGGGACUGUUCAUCUCCUAUGUGAUGCUGAAGACCAAGAGAGUGACCAAGAAGGCUCAGUGAAGGUCCCGCAGGGAUGAGGCUGCCAGCCCCUUCUCUGCUUCCCCUCCAGCACAGGGACCAAGUGGGGGAGCCUGCAGAACCUGUCCAGGCACAGUGGCUCCUCAAGCCUGCCUGUCCUGCAGAGUCCCCAUGGCAUGGAGCUUACACCUGACUGACUGGAGCCCCCUCCCCGACUCCCACUUCCAGAAGCUAGGAGGGAGGGAUACCUGGAAGACUCCGGUCACCUCCUUCUUGCUCAGGGCCUAAAAGAUGCUGGUCCUCCCAACCUCACUCUCAGACUCCCUGCCACCUUUUCCCCUGGGUUCUGCCGUCUUGCCUCACUUCCCCUCCUGUCACAUGCUGACGUUGGACUUAGCAGGUUCUAAGGCCACAUGUGUGACCUCUCUGACUUCUCUUCCUCCACCAAGGCAGCUUUCCUUACCCUGACACAGCCCCAGACCCCACAAAGCCUUCUGGACCUGGAAAGCCUGGGGAAGGACUGACAGACCCCAGGACCAGCCCUGGGGCUCAGGGCAGCCACCCCGGGCCGCUGACCGACUGACCUCUCCUCACGGAGGCCCAGCCCCAAAGCCCCAGGGCUGGCCCGUUUGGGACAGCUGACCAAUAAACACUGAUGGUGUGUU
Homo sapiens (human) is the source of this 1035-nucleotide RNA transcript. It is a transcript of the gene named dolichyl-phosphate mannosyltransferase subunit 2, regulatory, with no coding region annotated. The record is from RefSeq and is marked reviewed. The transcript has 4 exons. NCBI's taxonomy places the organism in Eukaryota, Metazoa, Chordata, Mammalia, Primates, Hominidae.